This 412-nucleotide ribosomal RNA is filed under the name Verrucomicrobiota bacterium. RNAcentral describes it as "Verrucomicrobia bacterium partial 16S ribosomal RNA". It matches the Rfam family "Bacterial small subunit ribosomal RNA", at positions 355 to 776 of the family's 1533-position model. Lineage: Bacteria; Pseudomonadati; Verrucomicrobiota. The record is from RNAcentral.
UGGGGAAUAUUGCGCAAUGGGGGAAACCCUGACGCAGCGACGCCACGUGCGGGAUGAAGGCCUGCGGGUUGUAAACUGCUUUAGAUUGGGAGCAAGCCUUUUGGGUGAGUGUACCUUUCGAAUAAGCGCCGGCUAAAUACGUGCCAGCAGCCGCGGUAAUACGUAGGGCGCAAGCGUUAUCCGGAAUUAUUGGGCGUAAAGAGCUUGUAGGCGGUUCGUCGCGUCUGGUGUGAAAGCCCAUCGCUUAACGGUGGGUUUGCGCCGGGUACGGGCGGGCUAGAGUGCAGUAGGGGAGACUGGAAUUCCCGGUGUAACGGUGGAAUGUGUAGAUAUCGGGAAGAACACCAAUGGCGAAGGCAGGUCUCUGGGCUGUUACUGACGCUGAGAAGCGAAAGCGUGGGGAGCGAACAGG